This 75-nucleotide transfer RNA is filed under the name Felis catus (domestic cat). It matches the Rfam family "tRNA". Rfam says of the family: Transfer RNA (tRNA) molecules are approximately 80 nucleotides in length. Their secondary structure includes four short double-helical elements and three loops (D, anti-codon, and T loops). Further hydrogen bonds mediate the characteristic L-shaped molecular structure. tRNAs have two regions of fundamental functional importance: the anti-codon, which is responsible for specific mRNA codon recognition, and the 3' end, to which the tRNAs corresponding amino acid is attached (by aminoacyl-tRNA synthetases). tRNAs cope with the degeneracy of the genetic code in two manners: having more than one tRNA (with a specific anti-codon) for a particular amino acid; and 'wobble' base-pairing, i.e. permitting non-standard base-pairing at the 3rd anti-codon position. The record is from Rfam by way of RNAcentral. RNAcentral also lists the same sequence under 2 other names. Lineage: Eukaryota; Metazoa; Chordata; Mammalia; Carnivora; Felidae.
GUCUUGCUGGCUCAGUUGGUAGAGAGCAUGAGACUCUUGAUCUCGAGGUCGUGAGUUCAAACCCCACGUUAGGUG